This 397-nucleotide ribosomal RNA is filed under the name uncultured bacterium. RNAcentral's name for it is "bacterial SSU rRNA". It matches the Rfam family "Bacterial small subunit ribosomal RNA", at positions 358 to 772 of the family's 1533-position model. The record is from RNAcentral.
GGAAUUUUGCGCAAUGGGCGGAAGCCUGACGCAGCAACGCCGCGUGGAGGAAGAAGGCCCUCGGGUCGUAAACUCCUGUCCAUGGGGAAGAUGGUGACGGUACCCUUGGAGGAAGCCCCGGCUAACUCCGUGCCAGCAGCCGCGGUAAUACGGGGGGGGCGAGCGUUGUUCGGAUUUACUGGGCGUAGAGGGCGCGCAGGCGGCGCCGGAAGUCCUGGGUGAAAGCUCCCGGCUCAACUGGGAGAGGGCCUGGGAAACCACGGUGCUGGAGUGCUGGAGAGGGAAGCGGAAUUCCCGGUGUAGCGGUGAAAUGCGCAGAUAUCGGGAGGAACACCAGUAGCGAAGGCGGUUCUCUGGGCCGGCACUGACGCUGAGGAGCGAAAGCGUGGGGAGCAAA